This 21-nucleotide non-coding RNA is filed under the name Caenorhabditis elegans. Lineage: Eukaryota; Metazoa; Nematoda; Chromadorea; Rhabditida; Rhabditidae. The record is from RNAcentral.
UUGGUUGCAUUUAACUCUGAU